This 542-nucleotide ribosomal RNA is filed under the name Penicillium polonicum. Its description in RNAcentral is "eukaryotic LSU rRNA". The stretch from base 177 to 329 matches the Rfam family "5.8S ribosomal RNA". Lineage: Eukaryota; Fungi; Ascomycota; Eurotiomycetes; Eurotiales; Aspergillaceae. The record is from RNAcentral.
CCGAGUGAGGGCCCUUUGGGUCCAACCUCCCACCCGUGUUUAUUUUACCUUGUUGCUUCGGCGGGCCCGCCUUUACUGGCCGCCGGGGGGCUCACGCCCCCGGGCCCGCGCCCGCCGAAGACACCCCCGAACUCUGUCUGAAGAUUGAAGUCUGAGUGAAAAUAUAAAUUAUUUAAAACUUUCAACAACGGAUCUCUUGGUUCCGGCAUCGAUGAAGAACGCAGCGAAAUGCGAUACGUAAUGUGAAUUGCAAAUUCAGUGAAUCAUCGAGUCUUUGAACGCACAUUGCGCCCCCUGGUAUUCCGGGGGGCAUGCCUGUCCGAGCGUCAUUGCUGCCCUCAAGCCCGGCUUGUGUGUUGGGCCCCGUCCUCCGAUUCCGGGGGACGGGCCCGAAAGGCAGCGGCGGCACCGCGUCCGGUCCUCGAGCGUAUGGGGCUUUGUCACCCGCUCUGUAGGCCCGGCCGGCGCUUGCCGAUCAACCCAAAUUUUUAUCCAGGUUGACCUCGGAUAGGUAGGGAUACCCGCUGAACUUAAGCAUAUCA